Molecule: ribosomal RNA, 1056 nt
Filed under: Thysanozoon brocchii
Lineage: Eukaryota; Metazoa; Platyhelminthes; Polycladida; Pseudocerotidae
Description: eukaryotic LSU rRNA
Rfam family: Eukaryotic large subunit ribosomal RNA
Source: RNAcentral
ACUCCAUCCAGGCUAGAUACAGACAGCAGGACGGUGUAAACUCCAUCCAAGGCUAGAUACAGACAGCAGGACGGUGUAGACUCCAUCGAGGGUAGAUACAGGAAGCAGGACGGUAUAAACUGCAUCCACUGUGGUGAUUGAUCUAACGACGGGGCCAUUGAAUGACGUUUCGAUCAUCGGUGCACUUUCCUCGCCUGGGCCCGACCACGACCGGUGAGCUGAUCUGUCUGUCGUGCUUGGAAGAUAGCGCCGUCUUCGGAAGGCGUGUUAUAGACAGGCAUACGGAGCAGUCGGCGCACUGGAUGAUAGUGCCUGCCCAUCUGGGCUCAUAUGGUGGUUGUUUUGUUGGCGAGUUCUGAUGUCACUACUUCGGUAGAGUCGUUAGACUCUGUUGGCAUUAUGGCUGUCCUCUAUGAUUGGCACUGUUAAGUCUGUGGUUGUGAAGUAGGUAGUCCACCUGACCCGUCUUGAAACACGGACCAAGGAGUCUAACAUGUGCGCGAGUCAUUGGGUUCACGAAACCUAAAGGCGCAGUGAAGGUAAAGAUCUGUUUUGGCAGAUUGAGGUGGGAUGCCGGGUUACGCGCCCGGCCGCACUACCGGCCCGUUCUAUAUGUCUUUCAUAGGAGCGGAGCAAGAGCGUACACGUUGGGACCCGAAAGAUGGUGAACUAUGCUUGCGCAGGUCGAAGCCAGAGGAAACUCUGGUGGAGGACCGCAGCGAUUCUGACGUGCAAAUCGAUCGUCAAACGUGAGUAUAGGGGCGAAAGACUAAUCGAACCAUCUAGUAGCUGGUUCCCUUCGAAGUUUCCCUCAGGAUAGCUGGCACUCGGGAAAUCAAACAGUUUUAUCCGGUAAAGCGAAUGAUUAGAGGUAUUGGGACGAAACUGCUCUCAACCUAUUCUCAAACUUUAAAUGGGUAAGAUGCCCGACUCGGUCAAACUCCAUCCAAGGCUAGAUACAGACAGCAGGCCGGUGUAAACUCCAUCCAAGGCUAGAUACAGACAGCAGGACGGUGUAAACUCCAUCCAAGGCUAGAUACAGACAGCAGGACGGUA